UUGUCUUUUUAGUGCCCAAUAGUGUCAAU
This 29-nucleotide non-coding RNA is filed under the name Rattus norvegicus (Norway rat). The record is from RNAcentral. Lineage: Eukaryota; Metazoa; Chordata; Mammalia; Rodentia; Muridae.